CUAAGGGAGCGGGAGGAAGGUUGGGUGGCCAGCUGCUGCAUCCGUGGAGUAAGCAGCCAAGGUUCGAAUCCUGUUAGGCGCAUCUUCACUAGAGUGGAAAGUGGUCCGGCCGAGGUAAACCCGGUGCCUAGCGUUCUAGGGGGCUACUCUAUUCUUUGGCCCCUAUUAGAAAAAAAAAAGUACUGAGUCCAUUAGCAAUGUUGACUGUGAUCCAAUUAAAACUGUAGGUUCUGUGUAAACUACCCUCAGCUUUAUUUUAGAUUCGGUGGACAUCAGCAACCAGCUGGGGAGUGCUAAUAGCAACUAGAAACCUUAUCCUGAACAUAUUUUCUGCCAUAUAUACCGUGGCACAACCUGCAGUAACAUUCUGAUUUAAGUGAAUGACUGGAGGAUUAUUUAAUAGUGUCUGCUUCUUCUAUCUCUUUGGUGCUGCUGUAGGAUGUCUAAUUUUCUAGUACGUAUUCCAUGAGUUAUGGCUUGCCUCAAACAGCGAAGCAUGAUCCUAGCUGUAUAUGGAUUAGAAAAGGAAUGUUAUAAAGAAAAGGUAGCACUGAAGAUUCUCAAAAUUUCCCACUUAACUACACAAGAUGGCAAGAACGGCACCGUGCAAUUCAGUGCACUUCAAACUAUUACAUCUCGACUCAGAUUUUUUGAAGAUAUUGAUUUAAAGUAUGCAUAACAUUGUCUAUAUUUCAAUAUUUUAUUUAGGAUAAAAUGCAAAUUUCAACUUCAUUUCAGAUGCUCCUAUUUUGGUUAUAAUGGGUCGAAUUUCUUCAAAUUAUCGAGUUUGCAUUGAUCAUACAUAGUCGUGAACUUCAUGUUGGAGCAUUGCAUAUCAUUUAUGUCGUUGCUUCGUUUUCUAACACCGUAUAGGAACACUCUAAAUAGGAGUAGCGUAUUCAAAUGGAAAGUAAAUAGAAUAAAUUGAUUAUCUGUCAAAACUAUCAUUGAAAGGGUAUUUCAUCGAAAGAAACAUAAAUGAUUGACAUGAGAACAAGAAAUGAUCAAGUCUCAAUGCUUGCUUAAAAGCACUGCAGCUGGGGCUCCUAUCUUUGAACUGUAAGGACUUUGAAGACACCAGUUAAAAUCCAUAUCAUAAUUUAGUCAACGGUGACAUGGUGCGAGUUUUGUUUGCUAUUUUAUUUUUCUCUUUCUCUAGUUCCUUCUCUUUGUUAUUCUAUAUUUUUAUAAGAUUGUAAUAUAGUAUAAUAUCAAUGAACUUUAGGGGAUAAGUGAAUAAACAGUUGAAUUUAGAUAAAUAAAAUAUUUAGUUGUACAUUAGUAAUAAUUUGCACCCGCAGCCAAUUUAAGCUGUCCAAAGUGCAAUGUGUGUCUAGGAUUAACCAGGCACUGCUGCCACUUUUAGGGCAUUUUUUCCUUUCUUCUUCUUUACCAAGCAUUAGUGAGCUUUGGAAUUUUUUUUAUUUUUAACCCUUUUUUAACUAAUAUUUAAAAAUAACUCACCCAAACAAAUAUUUGCAGAUAUGACCCUUUUGGUCACGCCGGUCCGCGUGGCGCGACAAGAACACUCUGUCGCGCCACAUGCAAUGGCAUGACAAGGUGUGCCACGUCGGAGAGCGUGGAAGGGAUCUGCCAGCGCAUAAUCUAUUUGGAAAGCUUGUCACGCCACUCCUGCCGGCGUGACAACACACUCUUGUCACGCCACCCGGAGUGGUGUGACAAGGUCUGACUUUAAAAAAAGCAUAACUUUUUCAUACGAACUUGGAUGAAGAUGAUUUUUAUAUGAAAAUUGUAGCUCUCGACGAGAUCUACAACUUUGUAAUUUUAAGUUUUUUAUUUAAAGUCAUUAAGAUACAUUAAUAAUUGAUCUAAACUUUAGACAACAUAUUGAGCGUCUGAUCCUGUUUUCGGUCAUCUCCAACUUAGCUUGGUUCAUCAUGGUUCCACCAAAUAAGUUCUAUACAAUACAUUAUCUAUGAAAUUAUAGGAAAUAGAUAAAGUUAAUAUGUCAAAAACUACUACAACUAAAAUGAAAGAUAUAUAGUUAUCAAAUAUGAAACAUAUAUAAAUAAAGAUAACAGAACUCAAACUUCGCUUUAUUUAUAUACCUGGUUUGAAGCAGAAGCCUUUAUAGGAGUUGUAGAGUAAACUUUAGAUCACAACUUUGUUAAUUUGAGUUUGGGCCAAUCCACCCUGGAACAUUUUCAAAUUCGAGCUCAAAGUAAGCACCAACCUAAAUGCAGCACACAGCUCUAAGUUUCAAAAACAGUGAAUGUCUUCCAUUUUGGCAUGUGAAUUUCUACAAAAUUCAAAACUAAACUGGAUCUAACCUUUUAUAAGAGUUUUAGUAUGAAGUGUGUACUAUAAUAUUUCCCAUUUGACCCUGGUCUAAAUCGGAGCGGAGCCAUUUCAAAACUUGAGUUAAAGUUCGGCUAAAAUAUUAAAAACAGCUCCAUUUCAAAUCCUGCUAAAGGGGUGUUUGGGAGGAGGGGGCUAAAUUUUAGCCCCCGUCACAUCGAAUGUUUGGACACUAAUUAGGAGUAUUAAACCUAGACUAAUUACAAAACUAAUUACACAACCUCUAGGCUAAAUCACGAGAUGAAUCUAUUAAGCCUAAUUAGUCCAUGAUUUGACAAUGUGGUGCUACAGUAACCAUUCGCUAAUGAUGGAUUAAUUAGGCUUAAUAGAUUCGUCUCGUGAUUUAGCCUAGGGGUUCUGCAAUUAGUUUUGUAAUUAGCUUAUGUUUAGUCCUUCUAAUUAGUAUCCGAACAUCUGAUGUGAUAGGGCUAAAGUUUAGCCCCUGGUAUCCAAACACCCCGUAAGUCUAUGAAACCCGCGUUCCCGAGUAUUUUGAACUCGUAUAAGUUCAAUUUGAGAACAAAAUUGCAUACAUCGUCAAAUCCUGUGCAGCCUCUGCCUAGUCAACGAUCUUUGGUAAUUUCGUUCUCAAAUUGAAGUUAUACGAGUUCAAAAUACUCGGUAACGCGGGUUUCAGAGACUUAGCAGGAUUAGAAAUGGAGUUGUUUUUAAUAUUUUAGCUGAACUUUAACUCAAGUUUUGAAAUGGCUCAGCUCCGGGGUCAAAUGGGAAAUAUUGUAGUACACACUUCAUACUAAAAAUCUUAUAAAAAGUUUACAUCCAGUUUAGUUUUGAAUUUUGUAGAAAUCACAUGCCAAAAUGGAAGACAUUCACUGUUUUUGAAACUUAGAGCUGUGUGCUGCAUUUAAGCUGGUGCUUACUUUGAGCUCGAAUUUGAAAAUGUUCCAGGGUGAAUUAGCCCAAACUCAAAUUAACAAAGUUGUGGUCUAAAAUUUACUCUACAACUCCUAUAAAGGCUUCUGCUUCAAAACAGGUAUAUAAAUAAAGCAAAAGUUUGAGUUCUGUUAUCUUUAUUUAUAUAUGUUUCAUAUUUGAUAACUAUAUAUCUUUCAGUUUAGUUGUAGUAGUUUUUGACAUAUUAACUUUAUCUAUUUCCUAUAAUUUCAUAGAUAAUAUAUUGUAUAGAACUUAUUUGGUGGAACCAUGAUGAACCAAGCCAAGUUGGAGAUGACAGAAAACAGGAUCAGACGCUCAAUAUGUUGUCUAAAGUUUAGAUCAAUUAUUAAUAUAUGUUAAUGAAUUUAAAUAAAAAAACUCAAAACUACAAAGUUGUAGAUCUCGUCGAGAGCUACAAUUUUCAUAUAAAAAGCAUCUUCAUCCGAGUUCGUAUGAAAAAGUUAUGAUUUUUUAAAUUCAGACCUUGUCACACCACCCGGAGUGGCGUGACAAGAGUGUGUUGUCACGCCACCAGGAGUGGCGUGACAAGCUUUUCACAUGGAUUAUACGCUGGCAGACCCCUUCCGUGCUCUCCGACGUGGCACACCUUGUCACGCCAUUGCAUGUGGCGCGGCAGAGUGUAUUUGUCGCGCCACGCGGACCGGCGCGACCAAAAGGGUCAUAUCUGCAAAUAUGUGUUUGGGUGAGUUAUUUUUAAAAUAUUAGUUAAAAAAGAGUUAACAAAAAAAAUAUUCGUGAGCUUUGGCUUAAAUACAAAAAGAAGAAAAAGGAGAAAACGUCUAGAGCCAAGUUGUUCACCAUGUACUUCUUCCUAAGAGGAAGCGACUCGAAAAAAAUAAAUAUCAAAGAUCUGUAGAAGUCAUGUGAUAGCCUUACCACAUCCGAAAGCUGAUAAUGACCCUAUUGGAAAGAUCAAGCAAGAAGCUUAAUGACUACCAUUUACACCUUCUUGGUCAAACUGAAAUAAGUACGAUAGUCAUUCUUGUUGUCUGCUGUAUCCUGUAUUCUUUGAUUGAGGCAGUGGACUAGUACUAGUAGACAACAAAUACGCCAUGGGUUCGUAAAAAAAAAACAAAUACGCCAUGGACAUAACUCACUAGCUGCCUGCUGCGCUAUAUCCUGUAUGCUGGGCCUGCUGGCUCCAUGUUCCCUCUCUUUUUCUUUUUUUUUGAAAUAAACUGGCUCGAUGUUCUCAACCACCGGUUGUUGGCACGCAGCUAUCAGAAUCGAUAGGGCUGGGACUGGGGCCACAUCCAUCCGUGCAUCGUCUUCUCGACCUGAUCAUAUGGAUCAUCCAGCUAAUUAACACACCUUUCAGGUUUGCCCAACCGCAAAGCUAGCUGAGCGCACGUUCCAUGGAGCUGCUUUAAGUAUGGAUCAAGUAUUGUUCUAGAAGUAGUACACACAUUAUGCGAGGCAUUAAGCUAGGUUAAUUAUAUGGAGUAGGAGUGUGAUCGAUCAUAUUCAAUCGAGCUUGGUUGAUCUAAUAACUAUUGAGUUGUAUGCACCAAUCAAUUCAAUCCAAAAGUUUAAGCUGAUAGUGAAAGGUCCCUCAGGCCACACGUGGAAAUUGGAGUGGGCUACAAUUAUUUUAUUUAAUCACGCUCGUCAAGAUUCGAACUCGAGAUCUCAGAUUCUGAUACCAUAUUGAGUUGCAUGCACCAACCAGUUCAACUUGUCGACAUUGUCUUGGAAACAUUGUGGUUUUCAUUUUCUUUUUUGGAGUUUGACCAGUCAUUGACCGCAGCUAUUUAAUUUUAAGAAAUGCAAACGUGUGGGCGUCCCUUAACUAGGUAUUGUGGAAACGUGUGACCGUAGCUAUCCAAUGCCCUGAAUUACAGAGAUAUUAGCCACAAUUUUGCCAGAUUUGUGUUGGCGUUUAAUUUGAUGUCACGCAUCGCUGGCCACUGCCAAGGCUUGCCAUGGUUGAGUGAUGUGUAACUUAAUUAUUUGUGGAAGUUAAAUUACAGGCAUUUAUAUUGAAUUACCAUCUCAGAGAGGUUUCAUAUAGAGAAUUACUUUAUAGUAUUUUUAGGGUGUAAACUUAUAUUUCGAAUAAACUCCAUGAAUUUAGAUAUAGGGCUCACCAUUGGAAAGUGGAAACACGCUCUUAUAUUAUUGGGUUGAAUGCUGGUUCUGAAUAUUAAUUAUUCUAUUCUCGUCUAGUACAACAAAUAUUUAAUUUAUUCGUAGUAGUUAAAACCACCUCAGAAGAUGAUUAUUGUUCCUAACAACCUUUGCCAUCAUUGACAAGAAACUCGUCAGCCGCAUCACUCGAUCACUAGCAGUAGCUGCUUACUAUACUAGUGAAGCAGAGCAGAGCAGCAGGGGAAGCAGAGCAGCAGCGAUGCCGACGCUGCGGCGGCGCAACCCGGACGUGCACGUGAAGGCGCUGGAGGGCAUCGUCUCCGCCAACACCUUCUUCACGGUGGCCGUCUUCAUCGGCAUCACGGGCACCAUCACGCCCUCCGCCGCCAUCCCGCCCGCCUGCGUCGCCGGCGACGACAUCGCGCGCAACUUCUUCCUCUUCGAGAUCCUCUCCUUCGGCUUCUACCUCCUCUCCAGCCUAGUCGCGCAGGGGAUGAAGCUCGCCGUCACGCUCCUAGCCGCCGACGACUUCUACGGCGACGGCGACCAGAAGCCCCCGCCGUCCGACGACUGCGAGGAGAUGCCGGCGUGGCGCGCCGCGGGGCCGAGGGAGCGGAGGCGCGCCGUGCUCAGGUUCGCGCAGCCGAUGAUGCUGCUGGCGGCCGGGUGCUCCAUCAUGGGAACCUUCUUCCUGCUGCUGUCCAUGGUCGACGCCAUCCAGCUCAAAUUCGGCAUCGUCUCCUGCGGCACCCCGCUCGCCGUCGGCGCCACCUUCGGGCUCUCCGUGCUCGUCGUCGGUGGGCUCAUCUUCUACGGAUCCACCGUCGCCUACGCCCUCACGCACUACCUCCCCUGAAUACCGGCGCCUGCGCUCUGCUCUCUCCCUCUGGGCUAGUUUCUUUUACCUUUUCUUUAUUUUUUUUCUUUUACUUUUUACAUUACACAAGGAGUGAGUGAUUAUUAACAGUGGAUUCUGGAACUUUAUGCACAAUUGAGAAAGGAUUCCCAAACUAGGGAAAUACAUUUUUUUUGCAUUACAAGGAUAUCGUCUCUUCAAAGUAGAAAAGGUGGUCGGCAAACAUGAUUGUGCUGCCUUCUAUUACUGUACCAAACUACUCCAUAGUACUAGUUUAGUGAUGGGAUAGAGUAAGUUGCCAACUUUUUUUAAUGAUAACUUGGUAUGCCAUAUUUCCUGACUCUAAUUCCACUAUUGAUAAGAUACUUAUACAUAGAGCGUACUGAGAAAGAUCUAUUUGCAUGACCAUAUAAAGAUAUCUUUGCCCUUCUGCAAAUUUAUAUUUACUAGUCUUGAUACCAUAUUGUCAUUCUUGUGACCUACUAAAGCCCUCCUAAAGGAUAUAUUUAAAGGUGUGCAACUGUAGUAUAUUUUCGACGAGCAAUAUUAUAGAAGGACGGGUACUGUUAUGUCAACGUCUGGUUACCCAACUAAACGGUGCCAACGGAACGGUGUGAUACUGGUGUAUCAUUAUCUACUUUUAUGUAUUUAGCAAAAUUACUGAUAAAAGAUUAUAUUCAAUCAACUUGCAUUUUUCAUUAAGAAAAACACUAAAGUUUAGUCAUAUUUAGUUGGCCGGCUUGUUGAGACUCAGUUGUCAAAGAAUUUGAACAUUCCUAAAGAUUAUAUGUGUACCUUAUUGCAAAUUAACGCGAAUACUAAAGUUUAGUUUUAUCUAGCUGCAUCAUUGGAUACUACUCCAUAUAUAAGAACAACCCUGCUGUAGUGUGAAUUUUUGAGGCAGGGUUCCCAGAGCAUGCAUGGUUCAAUUUCUAUUUUUGAUGGUAUGGACUAAUAAACAUCAUAUCGAAAAAACUUCACUUGAUAACUGGACAUGAUUUCUCCAUCAAACCUUAUUUUUUUAGGGUGGACCUAAUUCUUUCUAAAUCUAUCCCUUUUUGGAUUUGUUCUAUAUAUACAUCGCUCUCUCUCGCACCCGUGAGUUAUUAUAUGUGUACCUUAUAAGCGUGCGCGCUCUCUCUCUCUCCAAAAUCAUUUUUUCACUCCGUUGGAGCCAAAAAAAAUGGAUUUCCCUAGUUGGGCCCUUUCUCCAUUGCACGAAUUUUACAUAUACAUGGAAGCUGCUCAAUUGCUGGAAUAUAGGUACACUAAAGCACAGGUCCCACUAUUCAGUGAAACGGCAUCGCCCUGCUAAAGGCCAAAGUCCACCUCAAACGGCUCAUUUCUCCAGUCAACAGUAGCGCACGCACGCCACCCUGCACUCUCACUCACUCCAGCUCCUUUGCUUCGACAUGGAGCCCAAAACCCUCGCCGCGGGGCGGCGACCAAGCGCAAGGAGAGAGCCGCACCCGCGGCGCUCUCCGCGUCCCGGCUGCCGAAGCGCCAGUCCCGGGAGCUCGCCGUCGUCGAGCCGCCGCUAGCUUGCACCGGGUAGCCGCCUGGCCGCCCGCAAAUCGCGGGGCAAGCCCGCGCGGAAGAAAGCGCCGCGCCGCGCCGUUGAUCCUCCGCGCCAGCAGGAGCAGGAGGAGGAGGCGCCGCCCCCUCCCCCGCUGCCACGGCCGUCGCUGGAGUAGGAGAUCGAGGCCGUCCUAUCCCGCGGCGUACACGUCCCCCACCUUCGCCGGUAAGCCCAUGAUUAGCCAGCACUAGCUUUUAAAUUUUAACUUGAUUCAGUUGCAAUCAAGUUUGCCAAAUUAGUUCGGUCCUUGUACUUGUACAUAUCAUCCUUACCUUUGCCGGUAAGCCUUGCCAAGAAAUAGUUGUCAAUGUGAUAGGAGCUACACUCCCAUGGCAGUUUUGCGUAUAGAUGCAAUAAUCAACAACCAUAUUAUUCAAUUUUUGUGUUCACUCUUUUCUGAAUGCACGCGUAUGCUCAUUUUCCAGAAUUUGAAUUAGGCUAAAAUUGACCUUUCGAAAUUUGGUACCAAUUACCAAAUAAACAUGUUUUGCAUGAUAUUGCAUAUGAGCAGCACCGUCAGUACAUUAAUGCAUUUCAUCAUACAGCCAGCCUAUGGAAAGUACAGUAUAGAAAAAAAAACACAACAAGACAUGUAUUGCAGUUCAUACCUAACUUUCGAGACCUGCUCUCUGUGCAUACUGGCACUUCCUUAGGCUGUUUGUGUGGUGAUGCCCAAUGCAUUGUCAUGUUCAAAUUGUUACUUGGAAUUAAUUGCACAGUGUCAUUUUUAGCCAAUUUUCAUCUAAACACUAAACGAUAGUCGUUGGGUAACCCCUCGAGUAGCGAGUAGGGCAUGUUCAACAACUUAUUAUUUUGGUUAAGAAAUGAUGUGUUCAUAGGCUCACAUAAUUUCUACGCAACUGGGAAUCAUACUUUACCUUGUGCAUUAUGUGCGUUCUACACUUGUACCCAGAAGGGGCAACCUUUAGCUUUGCAUGAGGCAGCUUAACCUAAUAUGUAGCGUGAUCAUUCCAAUUAUUAUGGUACAUCAUAUUCACCUAUUUGCUUCAACCCGUGCAUAUUUUAGAUUACUCUGACCAUGCUAAGUGGUACCCCCCAUCUUACUAUGGCGUGUUUACCCUGUCACAAAAUAUUAUUUAAUCAUCAUUCCUGAACUCUGAUAAUCUGUUAUUCAUUUGGGGUCUAAUGCUGAUUGAUCUAACCUCAAUUCUUUCCAGGUAGACUUUGAUUUGUGUUCUGAUUGCUACAAUGAAGGAAAGUUUGAUGAAGGCAUGUCAAAAGCUGAUUUCAUCCUUAUGGAAUAUGCAGAGAUUUCAGGCUCAGGUGGUUCUAACUGGACUGACCAGGAGACAUUGCUUCUUUUGGAAGCGUUAGAAAUUUUUAAAGGAAAAGAAUGGGAUAUGAUUGCUGAGCAUGUUGCUACAAAAACAAAAGAACAGUGCAUGCUAUACUUUCUCCAAAUGCCAAUUUUGGACUCCUUUCUAGAGGGUGAAGAUUUCAAUGAAACACCUCAGAAGAUCAUACAAAAGGAGUCAGCAGAAACUGGCACUUUUGAUGUAUCUAAGGAAAUGGAUGUAGAUGACAAUGCAAAAGGAAAAGAGAGCACUGAUGAAAAACUUUCAAGAAAGCAAAUGCUAGUUCUUCAGAAACAGAAACAAAAUUAGCUCACUUUGUUUCUGCUAAAGAGGGUACCAUGAAUCCUGGUGAUAAUGAUCUAGUUGCAUCUUCCAUUGUUGAUGAAUCAAACAAAUCUUCAUUGAUGGAUCAUGAAAAUAAGAAAAAUUCAGCUGAUGUUGAUGUCUCUGGGGAACACGCAUCCAACUUUGUUAUUGAUGUCCUGAGAUCUACUUUUGAAGCAGUUGGUCACUUUCUGUAUAAUGAAGACUUGGGUUCAUUUUUCUGAAGCAGGAAAUCCUGUUAUGGCACUAGUGAGUAGACAUUUCUGCAUUUAUUAAUCUUUUGUUACUUACAUAACAAGAGUUUUUUUUCUCAAAACACAGCAGAGCUGCGUAUCAAUAUAUUAUUAAGAAGAAAGGGUUGAGAAACCCAAGGUACAGCCAGGUUUUUUAAGGAAAAAACCUGAGCAGAAAAAACCAUCAACUUACAUACAUAGGACUAAUCACCUGUUACCAAGGGGAAACCUGUUACAUAACAAGAGUGCUCUUUGAUGUUUGGAUAAAUAACCUGCAGGCUGCAUUUUUGGCUUCUCUUGUGGAAUUUGAUGAUGCUGUUACUUCAUGUUGUAAUUCACUGAGAGCUAUAUCAGAAAUAUCUCCUGCUUUCGAAUUGGCAACUGGGCACUGUUUUAUUCUUCCAGAUCCACUGAGUAACCACGAAGAUCCCACUUGCAAUUUCAGGUAGCGUAGUUCAUUAAGACUCAUGUUUAGCAUCGAUUUGCAAUUGCCAAAUUUUACUGAUAAAAAUUGGAACUUGUGGCUCUUGCGCAGGCGAUGAGUGCCAAGGAGAGGUGCUCACAUUGCUCAAAAUGUGAAGAAAAUGCUUUAGCUCUGGAAAAGGAGAAUGCUACAUUCACCUCACAGAAAGAUCAACUAGAAUUAUCUAACAUAAAGGAAUCAUUUGUUGAAGAUCCCCAAGCGGAGGUCAUAUCCAAUAGCACAAAGGAUUCUGAUAAUCAAACUGCUAUUGUGGAGAGUAGUGUUGCAUCUGAUAAGAUGAGAGAUGGUCUAAUACCAUUCCAUGUUCUGCUACUUCAAAUAAUACAAACGAACCUAGUUCCAUAGCUUCCCAAGAAGCCAGGGCAGCAAGUACAAAGGACACAACCAACCCUGAACGAGUAGAAGGGGACAAACCAAGUUCUAAGGAUUUACCGGAUGAUGAGUCACCUUCACAUGGAAAGGUAGAGCUAGAGGAGAUUGAACAUGCACCUGCUGCCUCAUCUAGCAUGCAACAACACGAGUCCAACCAAACUGGAAAUGGAAACACUGAAGGUACUUCAUUCGACCUUUGUAAUUAUUGUUUACAUUGCACACCAUUGAGGAAUGUGUCUCAGUCCCAUGGUUUUGAACUCCUGCAAGUGGGGCUAUUGACCGGUCAUCAAAUUCCUGGCCCCAACCAGGAUUAAGAAACUGGCGAGCUUCAAUUGUUUUAUGGAAAGCUGUGGUUAUCCAAAAUAUUGGAUAAAAAACAACAAUUUCAAAAUAAGAUAAUUUUAUUGCAGCUGGUGCUUAUUUACUCCCCCUAUUUCGUUAAUAGGCAGCCCACUCCUAUAGACAGUCUCCAGAAACUAAAUUUGGCAAUUGAUGAUGUUUGUGAUAGAUUACUAGUGACUAUAACUUACUGUCAUGUGGAAGUAACCCAUUUAAAUCGCAGAUGUAAUGGGAUCUUGUGUGUGUGAGAGAGAGAGAGAAUUAACAUAUCAAAGUUGCAUAACUGAUGACUGUGAAACAAGUAAUGGUAAUUAGGUGAACAUGGCUGCCUGCCUAGGCUAGCUCACCGCUCCGUGUUAGUACAGGGGGAAUCCCAACAAUUACAAGAGUUUGAUUACAACUUGUGAUACAAGACAGAUGGUUUAAACCUUCUCUAUCUAUACAAGAUCUAUCUGUAGCUCGAGGAUUAACCAACACAUCUAUGUAUCCAAUGUCAUCGCAUUCAUAUGAUGUGUUAACACAAGACUCUUUACGAGGAAUAUACCUAUCCUUUAACAGCCUCCCUCAAUCUUAACCAGGCUUGCUUCUGAGGUUUAGAUUGUCUCUGAAUUUCUCAAACUCUCCAGAUGAAACUGCCUUGGUGAAACCACCGGCCAGCUGGUCUUUAGACAAAAUAAAGCGAAUCUCCAACUGCUUCCUUGCUACCCUUUCUCUUACAAAGUGAAAAUCAAUCUCAAUAUGUUUAGCACGUGCAUGAAAAUAGGAUUAGCUGAUAAAUAUGUUGCACCAAGAUUGUCACACCAUAGACAAGGAGGUUCCUUUAAUUUCACACCUAACUCGGACAGUAACGCUUCUACCCAAAUAGUCUCAGCUAUUGCAUUAGACAAUGACUUAUAUUCUACUUCAUUGCUUGAUCUAGACACAAUUGCGUGUUUCCUAGCGCUCCAUGAGAUUAAAUUUGGACCAAAAUAAACAACAAAUCCACUAGUAGAUCUUCUAUCAUCAAUGCUACCAGCCCAAUCUGCAUCAAAAAAAGCACUUAUCAAAGUAGAAGAUGACUUACGUAUCUCAAGCCCAAUAUUGAUUGUCCCUUUCACAUACCUCAAAAUUCUUUUAACAGCCGAUCGGUGAGUAGUUGUGGGAGCAUGCAGAAAUUGACACACUUUGUUAACAGCAAAAGCUAAAUCAGGACGCGUGAGAGUUAAAUAUUUCAAGGCCCCAACAAUACUACGAUAUCUUGUACCAUCUUCUAAUGACAAUAGAGUACCAUCUUGACAAGAUAAUUUUUCCGAGACUCCUAAGGGAGUGAAAGAAGACUUACAAUUUGUCAUACCAACUCUCUUCAAAACAUCUGACACAUACUUUGUUUGUGACAACAUAACGCCUCCCUGAGUUGGUUUGACUUCAAUCCCAAGAAAAUAAUUCAGAUUUCCUAGAUCUUUGAGAGCAAAAUCUGCUCAUAGAUCUUUAAGUAAAGCUGAAAUUGCAUCCAUAGAUAACCCUGUUACUAUGAUAUCAUCAACAUAUAUGAGCAUAAAUAUGGUUGUGUUCGACCUGAAGUAAAUAAAUAGUGAUGCAUCAGAUUUGGACGCUCUAAACCCAAGAUCAAGCAACUUUCAACUCAACCUUGAAUACCAGGUCCUUAGAGCUUGCUUCAACCCAUAAAUAGCUUUAUCCAACUUACACACAUAAUUUGGAAAUUUUGCAUCCUCAAAGUCUAGAGGUUGUCUCAUGUAAACCUCUUCCUCAAGAACACCAUGGAGAAAUGCAUUUUGUACAUCUAACUGCCUCAAACACCAGCCUCUUGAGACUGCUAUAGUUAGUACAAGUCGAACAGUAGCAAUUUUCACAACAGGCCUGAAUGUGUCUUCAUAAUCAAUACCAUAUAUUUGUUUGAAUCCCUUAGCCACCAAUCUUGCUUUAUAACGAUCUAUACUCCCAUUAGCUUUUCACUUUAAUUUAUACACCUAUUUGCAAUCAAUAAGAUUGUUACCUUUGGAGGGAGGAACCAAGUGCCAAGUCUUGUUUUUAUUAUGAAGCGUCGUAAGCUCCUCUUCCAUUGCUUUUGUCCACCCGUGAUCACCAAGUGCUUCCUGUAGAGUAUGCGAUUCUCCUGUAGAAGAAAAGAAACCAUAUCUAACAGUCCCAUCAGUAUACUAUUUUUGUUUAACAAUGCCACUUUGAGAUCUUGUCCUAGGUCGAGGAGAAUUUGCUGUUGAAUCAGCAGAGUUCGGAACUGUAGAGUUUGGAGCCGUAGAAGAUCCAUGAAAGGAUAUAGAAUGUUGACUAGAGGGGGGUGAAUAGUCGAACCUGAAAUUUUUUACAACUUCUAACUAUUUUAUCAGCGACUUCCAGAGUUUUCAGAGAUUGUUCCGGAAAUUCCGCAACUUACGAAAUUUUUGGAGAAACAAGGAUUUGAACUACAACCUUAUGAAAUACUUGCUAAAAUGUAAAUCGUUGAAUAUAGGUUAAGCAACAGGUUAUUCUAGGCCGUUGGGACAAGAUAGAACAGCCGGAAAUGUGCUAGGAAUGUAGAUCGAGCAUGAAAUCUAGAAAUAUGUUCUAUGCUUGAAUAUGAACGAAAUUAAUAACAACAACCACAAGAGACACAAGGAUUUGUUUUCCAGAGUUCAGCUUCACACCUUGAAGCCUACAUCUCCGUUGAGAACCCACGAAGGGUGGGCCUUUCACUCCUAAACCACUUUCCUCCCUCUAGCGACCACAAAGAUCAAGCUAGAGUCACUUACUCAAUCGUCAGGGUAAUACAAACUUCCCGUGGGCAGCCACAAUCGUUGGAUGCUCUACAGGCAACACCUAGCCAGCUAGGAGCUUGAAGCUCCAAGAGUAACAAACGUGAAACCACCGGCUUGACAGAACAAGGUGUUCAAGAGAUGGGAAAUCAGCUCACUAGCACUCUCCCUUGCUCUCCCUUGAAUCCCUUCUUAAAUCCCCCACCAAAUCUUCACCUAAAGGUCAGGAGGGGAGUAAAGAGGGGCUUUGAAUGUUUCUGAACAGCUCAAGUCAGUGUUAUGUCGAGAGAGUGACUGUGGGAGGGGGUGAGGGGGUAUUUAUACCCCUUCACCCCGAAACUAGCUAUUGGGAGUUAAGUUCUGGAAUUUUCCGGAAACUCCGGAACUCCCGGAUUCUUCCGAAACAAUUUUUGGAAAUCUCUAGACUUCCGGAAUUUUUUCGAAAACUCUGCAAACUCCAGAAUAUUCUAGAAGAUUUUCCGGAAAAUUCCAGAGCUCUCUAGUUAGAACCAAUCUAAGUAUCCCCAUGUGAUGUGCAGGUGCAAAGGUGUGUCUCAUAGGUUUUUUAGGUCAUCUUGAGCACCUUUUUCAAUGUAAAGACUAGAGAUUACGCAUCCCUCUUAAUAGUGCGGCAUUCCUAGACUCAAAUUCAAAUCAAAAAUAAUUUUAGCCUUCAAGGUAUGCCUUGUAUCUAUUCAUUUCCUUUUGAGGGGUCAAUCACAAGUGCUCCAUGUCUAUCAUUCCUUUUAAACCUUCUUAUGCACUUGAAAACUUCAUUAGACACUUAAGCUUGCAUCAUUAAUUCACCAAAACCCACUUAAGGAGCCAAGAUACUCUUCAAUCCGAGAGAGAAAAUCUCCACCGAAGCCGAGAUGCCCUGUCCUAGCACGGGCGCGGCGAUGGCCCCUGCCUGUCCUAGCGUGCCACGCGGCUGGGCGCUAGACUCAUCGCGGGGCGCGGGUGGAGACAUGGCGGCACGCGGCGUGCUCGGGCUAGCGAGUGGAGACCGAACGCCAUGCAGCAUCGACUAUCUAGCUAGCGGGAUCGCUCGGGCGGAUGAGGAAGGCAUAGGCGCUAGCGGAUCCACCUAGAAAUCAGGGUUCAUAGGCACUUGCGGAACAUCGUCAUUUUCAGAGACAGCCAGGUCUCUGUUAUUGCAUGGAAAGCUUCCUAUUUCUUGCCUGUUUUGGGUGAUCCAAGCAUCAUUUUGCGCCAAAUUUUCUCCAGAUUGCUCUUGCACAUGUGACACAACACUAGAACCAAGAUUAUGAUCAUCAGUAGUAUUAGCAUUACAACUUACAUCCUCAGAACUAUUAUUCAAAAGAUAAUCCAGUAAAAGAAGAAUUUCUUGAUGAAGGCGAGCACCAACGUUUUCAUGGAGAGUUUCAAAAGGAAAAAUAGAUUCAUCAAAGAUUACAUCAUGGGAGAUAUACACAUGACCAAUUGGAAUAUUAAGACACUUGAAUCCUUUGUGAAUAGAGCUAUAACCAACGAAGGCACAUCUUUUUCAGCGAAAGGCAAGUUUUCUUGUGUUGAAGGGCCUAAGAUUUAGCCAACAUGCACACCCAAAGACACGAAGAGAGGCAUAGUUGGUUUUUUCUUGAAGAAGAAGCUCUACUGGCAUGUGAUAAUUGAUGACUUUGCUAGGAAAAAGAUUAAUUAAAUAAGUAGCGGUUAGGAAAACUUCAUCCCAAAAUUUUAAGGGCAUUGAUGCGUUUGCAAGAAGAGCAAGCCCAACCUCUAUUAUAUGCCUAUGUUUUCUUUCUGCAGAACCAUUUUGUUGAUGAGCAUGAGGACAUUAAACUCGAUGGGAGAUGCCAAUUUUCUGGAAAAAGGAAUGCAACCCCUCAUACUCUCCUCCCCAAUCUGUUUGCAUGGAUAAAAUUUUCCUAUCAAACUUGUGCUCAACAAGUUUUGGAAAUUAUGAAAGACUUAGAAAACUUCAGACUUCUUUCGAAGCAAAUAGAUCCAUGUAUAUUUACUAUAGUCAUCGAUGAAGCUCACAUAGUAUGUAUGUCUACCAACAGAUUCUAGAGCUGGACCCCAUACGUUAGAGUGAAUCAAUUGGAGAGGAAAAGUAGACACAUUAUUUGAAUUUGCAUAAGGUAAUUCAUGGCUCUUGGCUCUUUGGCAAGGAUCACAAACUGAGUUACUACUAGUAUCAUUUAGAAAAGAUAAUUUAUUAUUCUUUAGAACAUCCUAACAAUAGGAAAAGAUGGAUGACCCAAACGACUACACCACCUAUACACGGAUGGCUUAUUGACUCCAAACUGUACUUUAUUUGUGCUUGCUUCAGAAGAGCUUGAAACUAGGGGAUAAAGGCCUCCUUCACACCUGCCUUGAUGAAGAAUUUUCUUUGUUGCUCGGUCCUUCAUGAUGAAAAGAUUUGGAUGAAAUUCAAAGAAUAUAUUAUUAUCAAAGGCAAGACGAUGAACUGAAGCAAGACUUUUAUGAGCGCUAGGAACAUGCAAUAUAUUUUUUAAUAAAAGGUUGCGAAUUGGGGUAUGUAAAGUUAAAUGACCAAUACUUCUGAUUUUCAUACCUGAACCAUUCGUUGUGUGGACUUGAUCAUGGCCGCCAUACUAGUCAUGUACCAUCAUCUUGUCCAAUUCACUAGUAAUAUGAUCAGUCGCACCGCUGUCAACACCAUAGGCGGUUGAGCUUGAUUUGUUGUUGUUCAAUGGCUGGAAAUCUUCUUCAAAUCUGUGCCAACAUUCAAGAGCGGUGUGAUUGGUCCUACUACAGAUCUGGCACUGGGGCCUGCUUGACUGUCCUCUAGAUUUGAAGUUGUUGUUGGAGGAGUUGCCGCACCCUCCAGAGCUGCGGCCGCCUCACCCUCGCCCGACUUCCACUAGAUCCACCAUUGCAAUGAGGGUUGAAGCCUCCCUGACCUCUAGAAGCUGAAUUUGCUGAGGAUUGGUAGUGACUUGCUGAACGCUGAUCAAACACGUCCAGGCGCAUCUCAUAUGCCAUGACUUGAGCAUAAAGGUCAUUGAUAGAGAUGGGAUCUGACCGGCCCAAGACAGAGGAGACAAUGGGAUUGUAUUCAAAAUCAAGACCAUUCAAAAUAAAGGAUAUCGUCUCAUGAUUGUAAAUAGACUUCGCUGCAGCAGCAAUUUCAUCUCCUAUGGCCUUCAUCUUGUUGAAGUACGUCGCGAUGUUCAUGCUUCCCUUCUUGAGGCUUGCAAGUUGCAUCUGUAGAUUGGUUACUCUCGUGCAUGUGAUUCUGCCGAGUACAUGUCUUCCAAUGCCGCCCAAACUUCGGAUGAUGAUGUCAACGUAGCUACCUAGGCAAACACUAUGGACAACAGGGAGUUGACGAGAUGGCCGAGUACCUGCUAGUCUUGCGCUAGCCAACUCUCAUACGCUGCGUUGGAGAUGUCGUUCUUCUUGUCAUCUUGGAUUGUUUUUGUUGGUGCCGGAAUUGAGCCGUCAAGGAUGCCAAGGAGGCGAGCACCCGUGAUCGGCGGCAACACCUGGGCCUUCCAAAGAAUGAAGUUCUCUCGCGUGAGCUUCUCGGAGACGGGUGACCCAAGAGCACUUGACGACGACGACGAGGAACUGGAGGCCAUGACAGUAGAUGUAUUUUGAGGAAGUGGCUCUGAUUACCAUGAAAGAAGUAAUGGUGAUUAGGUGAACGUGGCUGCCUGCCUAGGCUAGCGCACAACUCCGCGUUAAUAUAGGAGGAAUUCCCAAUAGAUUAGAAGAGUUUGAUUACAACUUGUGAUACAAGACACAUAUGGUUUAAACCUUCUCUAUCUAUACAAGAUCUAUCUGUAGCUCGAGGUUUAACCAACGCUUCUAUGUAUUUAAUGUCAUCACGUUCAUUUGACAUGUUAACACAUGACUCUUUACAAGAAAUAUACCUAUUUUUAACAGACUGAUCAUCAAUACUUACAAAGUUUAAUUCACGUAUUGCAUGAGGUUCCUAUAUCAUGUAGCAUAGGGAGUCAUUGGCAUUUCAGUUAUUAAAUAUUAUAUGGAAAGUGACUUGUAAAUGCAGCUUAGCUUUUAUAUCAUUUCCCUAUGGUAGACUGUUUCCAAAAUAGUUUCUGUGACGUAGGAAUAAUUUGGCUCGUAUAUGAUCACAGAACCUAAUAGCAACAAAAACAUCAUUGCUGCUACUGCUGCUGCUGAUCCCGUAAUAAGGCUACCUGCCGUUUCAGCAGCUGCAGUGAAGGCUAUGUUCCUCGAUCGCGGAGCAGGAGGAAGAUCAUCUUCGGCAACUAGCUAGCUGCACUUGUGAUCGAAAAACAAGUAACUCAUGUGGCAAUGAUUCUAUACCGUUUACGUUACCAACAAAGUUUCAGAUUCCAAUGUCACCUUUUGUUUUUGACUAGGCGUUUGUGCUAGGAAAUUUCAGAAAAUACUUAUACCUGUUCUUUGUUUGUUUAACAUUGUGCGCUUUGGCUCACUGACGUCCUUUCUCAUGCAGUUUAAGAAAAUGGAAGCUAAGAUGUCGUUUCUUUCUGAUGUUGAAAAUCUGGUCUUACGAUCGACAGAAUUGACAGAGAAGAUGCGGAAGAAGCUUAUGGUGGAGCGGAGCGUGAUAAUCGCUUCUCUAAUGGCUGCCGUGGCAUCCAGAACAAACCAGCAUGGGGCUCCUGGGACUACUGUCUCUGCCGGUAGCCCAGGUUCAGCAGCUGAGGCGCCCUUGAAGCCUAGCUGCUGUGCUGACCCACUGAUCCAACUUCUAGAAGUAUAUAAAAUGAUGCAGGGCUGGCUUUUGUUGUCGCGCUAAUUUGCCUGGUAAAAAUCCAGUGUUAGUGUUACUGCGUCCAGGGUAACUUAGGGGUGUUUGAUACUACCCGCUAAAGUUUAGCACCUGUCACUAACCCUGCAAAUAGUUUGGGCUGAAAUAACUUUAACAGUUUGGAUUUUACUUUGGGCUUCCUUAGCUUGGGUGCUAAUGGGCCAACACUGCUAACAAAUUCACUUGGUUUGGGCUCCACCUCCCUAGCAGUUUGGUGUGGUGUGGUGAUGAAUAGUUAUUAUUGGAGUUCUAAUGGGUCGUACCCGUGGGUUCCAACUGUUAAGAAUCCGCCGGCCUAUCCUACCACCUCCCGACCUCCGCCUGUUCUGUUCCGUUGUGUUCUCCGCCUCACUGACUCCCACCGGCCACCGCCGCCACCUCCGGUCCUCCGCCUCGCCUCCCUCCCUCCCCCUCCCGAGAUCCCGCCGCCACCUCCGGUUCUCUGACUCGCCUCCCUCCCUCCCCAUCCCAAGAUCCCGCCGCCACCACCUCUGCCUCGCCUCCCUCCAUCCCCCUCUCGAGAUCCCGCCGCCAUCACCUCCGCCUCGCCUCCCUCCCUCCCCCUCCCACUCCGCCACCUCCGCCUCACCCAUAACAGCACCAGGCCACGCCUCCCACCCAACCUCGGAAAGAUCCGGCGGCGGCGAUGGCGGCGGCGGUUCCCUCCUCCUUUCCUCUAGCUCUCAAGAUGCAGCAGUGAAGGCUCCUUUCUAUCGUCUGCGAGAUAUCCUCGGCAAGCCUCUCUACUCCGUGCUCCUUCCUGAAUCGCGUGGUAUGUUCCCCUUUUCUGAUGAACAAGUUCUUGUCUUCCUUAAUACGGGUCAAAAGGAAGUUCUAUAAUUGUUGUAUAAUUGUUCAAGUUCUAUAACUAAAGGAACUCUUUCGAGCAACAAGGACAAUACAAGAAGCAAGACUUUUUCAAACAUACUGGUUCGUGCAGACAGAGACAAGAAGAAUUGAGGUGGAGAAGUUAAUUCGUUUGGUACUUUCUUCAGCUAUUCUUGUUUAAUUCAUCAUUGUUUCCAUUCUUUCCUGUGUAAAGGAAGCCUUAGUUUAUACCCACUUCUGUGAUGGAAAACCAGCAUGGAUGUAUUAAUGAUAAGCACAUAUUUUGAGUUUAUACCCACCAUCUACCACUGAACCUGGAGCACCAUUACUCAGAUGCCAAACUGGUACAUCAUAAGCACUCUACUACUGUAUGAUUUAUUCAACACAACUGGGAAAGCACAUCAUCAUAACUCAUGUUAAUCCUAGAAGCCGAUAAAUGUUUACUUGUAUGGUGAUGGAUGAUUAAAAUAAAAUCUGGUAGCAGUUAUAUGUUGCAUACAAUAGAGUUCGUGGGGGAAGACCAUGGUAGCAACAGUAAGAAGGGCAGAGUCUGAUCCCUUGACCCCUUCGAAUUGCAUAGUAUCACAACAACUUCCGGUUUCAGGUUUGCAUAAUUUGAACUAUCGUCUGCUUCCCUGACAGGCAUUGCACAGUUCAGUUUGUCUUAGUUGGAGGCUGCUACAAACGACUUCUCAGAAGAUAGUUAUGAUAAAAGAGGCUACUACAAGGUACUCCCUUGCUUCGUUUGCUAAUUUUGUGUUGGAUUUUCGGACAAUCAUAUAAAGUCUUGUUGUCAAUUUGUCAUUGUGAGUUGCUGUUGACAUUGCUUCCUGUUUCUUGACAAGUGAUACUGUCAUUUUUUCCACAAUAAAGAGAUGGAGUAUAAAAUGUAAACAUACAAUUUCUGUUUGCUUGACAAGUGAUACUGUCAUUUCUAGUUCCAUGUUGGUGUUACAGUGAAAGUUAAGUUUCUAGGCUGUUUAAAUAGAACAUGCUCUGUUUAAAUAGAACUGUCACUUAAGUUCUGAUAAGCCAUAAAAUUGUUAGGGAUUCUUCAACAUGUCUAUUAACACAUCGGAAAGCUCUGAUGACUCUAAUUCAACUCAAACACGUGCAAAAAGGUCCAAGGUGUGGGAACAUUUUGAGCAGAAUCUUGUGGAAGUGGAUAAUUGUUUUAGAGCUGUUUGCAAGUAUUGUCGAAUGCAGUUAAGCACCAAAUCUGGAACUAGUAGCCUUAGAACCCACAUUUCUCAAUAUUGUCAUGCAAUUGGGGAAGCCGAGAGGAACAGAUUCAUAGCAACCUUAAAGAAGCCCAUAGAGAACUUUGUGUUUGACCCUCAGUUUAGUCAUGAGCGUAUGAUAGAGUUUGUCAUACAUGCUGAAAUCCCAUUUAACAAGUUUGAGGAUCCAUACUUCAAACCAUGGGUUCAGUCCAUGCAGCCAACUCUAAGUGUUGUGGGACGGCAAACUGUUCACAAUGAUUGUCUAAAGAAGUACCAGAGAAUGAAGCAAGAUAUUCAGAAUGAACUUGAAAGCCUAGACUCCCAUGUGUGCUUGACAUCGGAUUUGUGGACAUCAAUUCAAAACUUAGGCUACAUGGUUGUAACAGCUCACUAUAUCACUCCUGACUUCAAGAUCAAGAAGAAGAUAAUAAGUUUCAAAGAGGUCAAAUAUCCACACUCAGGGUUUGCUAUCGAAGAAGCACUUGUCAGCUGCUUGACUGAGUGGGGCAUACGAAACAAAUUGUUUACUCUCACAGUGGACAAUGCUAGUAACAACAACACUGCAUGUGACCUGUUGGUAGAUACUCACAAGUAUGAGUUGAUGCUUGAGGGUGCACAUUUGCAUGUGAGAUGUUGUGCGCAUAUUCUGAAUAUUUUGGUUCAAGAUGGGAUGAAAAUUAUUCAUGAGGGGAUAAAGAAGAUUCGGGAGCUCUUGAAGUACAUUGUCUCUUCUCCCUCAAGAAUGCAAGCUUUUAAUGAAAUUGCAGUGGUGAAUGGUCUUCCAACAAAACAUGGUAUUGCUCUUGACAUACCCAACCGUUGGAAUUCCACCUUCAAGAUGGUUGCAGAAGCAAUCAAGUACAAGACCGUCCUGAAUAGCUAUGCAAAUCAACAUGUAGAAAUUCCUCCAAAUGAACAAGAAUGGAGCACAGCUGAUUCAAUCUGUAAGUUUCUUAAAACUUUUGAAGAGGCUACAAAAGCAAUAUCGGCUCAUAGGAAACCAACUUCAUACAUGUUCUUACCUUUAAUUGUUUCAAUUCGAGAUGCCUUGGAUAACCCUUCUUGGCAGACAAGUGUGGCACUACAAGACUUGGCUACAGGCAUGAGUAUCAAGUUUGAAAAGUAUUGGGGUAGAGAUUUUGAUGAGUCAAACCAGCCUAUUGCUCGCAGAAAUAAAAAGGAUUAUGAUGUCAACCUUGGAAUUGUUAUUGCAACAAUGUUAGAUCCGAGGGGAAAAGCAGAAUAUGCAGAGUUCUUCUACCAGAAGAUUUGUAGCAAUAUAGAUCAGAUUGAUUCAAGUGUUGAUGCUGCUCUAGUUUGGAUGAAAAAAUACUUCCUGGAGUAUGAGCAACGCUUGAGGAGAGUUAGUGCAUACUCUGUUACAUAUGCAAGUGAGGGCAGCAUUUGUGUGGGCUCACCGGUGCUUGCGAAAAGGCAGCUAGGAUCAGAAUUUACAAACUUCAAGUCAAGUCGGAGAAAGACUCGUCCACCAAAAUCUGAAUUUGACAUCUACUUUGAAGAAGAUUGUGUGGAAGACAUUGAAAACUUUGACAUUUUGGCUUGGUGGAAGGCACAUGCUGAGAAGUUCCCGAUCUUAUCAGUUAUGGCACGUGAUUUCCUCGCCAUUCCUCUUAGUACCAUUUCUUCCGAAUCAGCCUUUAGUCUUGGAGAUAGGAUUCUUGGGGAGUCAAGAAGCUCACUAACUCCAGAGAUGUUAGAAGCCCUUGUGUGUGGGAAAGACUAGUUAUUCAAGGAAAAAGAUGCAGACAAUGAAGGUAUACCCUCAUUCUGUUUUGGCAUGUGUGCAUAUUUCCAUGUUCAUUUACUUACUAUAUGCUCAUUAUAUUGCAGGUCAACAAAUUAGUGAAGAUCAGACUAGUGAAAUGGUCACCUUUGUCACUCCAUCAGGUUUUACACAACACAUACAUCCUAUUUUAAACAUCCUUUAUUUCUGUUUUAACAUGCUUUAUUUCUGUUUAAACACACACUAAAUGGAUGGACUCAUAUAUGUUCUUUUUUUCACUGUUUGCUACUACAUUUAAUAGUUUGAGUGUUUUUUUUAGUUGCUAAGUAUCAGUUGAUCUAUAUUUGCAUCUUGAUGUGCUGUAGGUCUCGUGUAGCUAAAAAGCCUGGAGCUUUCAGACACUGAAGUUGGGAGCAAUGAACUUCGACAUCUCUCAGGUUUGUUUAUGCUAGCAGUAUCAUAGGUUUGAGUUCACUGAAGUCUCUUAAUCUUGACAAUCGAUGCUCUGGUAAAUUGAGUUCACCGGUCUAUUUGAGUCUUCUUUUUUUUCUUAAAUAAAAAAGGAACAAGCAGGAGUUCUGCUGUUCAUAUAUUAAUAAAGAAGAGGAGCAAAGGUCUAUUUAAGUCUUGAAUAGUUGAAUGCAUAUUACUAGUAUGUUGAAUUUAAGAGGAGAUCCAUGUUUACUCGAAAUAGUAGAUAUUACUGCUGAUUCUGGCUUAUAUUGCAAUUCACCCUGUGAGUUGGAUGAGAACUUGGUCUAUGCAGCUAAUGGAGAGCUCAUCAGGGUGAUGCUUAUUGCUUAUUCUGGUUUUAAGUUAGCUGUUUCUAGUGUCUUGCAGAGGGGAGAGCAAGAUGGUUGUAACAUUUUUUAUCUUUUGGUCCCUGUACCAUUGUUUGCGUGUCUGUUUAAGAGCUAAUAUAGAGAUUGCUGUUAGGCAUGUUGCCAGUUUACAUUUUGAUCUCAUUUGCUUUGCCUGAUGUCAUAUGUCCUGCUUAAUUACUUGGUCUCAUUUUGAUCUGUGUUCCUCUCCAGUUUGGCCGCGCUCUGCUGCUGCUGCGUGCUGGAGGAAUGCUGUGGCCUCUUCUGAGAUUUUAACUCUUAGCUACUUCUAGUCUUGGUACUUGGCAUUCAGUCCCAAGCAAUUGAUGCUAGCAUUAUGGAGCAUCGUCUGAGUAUAGAACCAGGCAGUAUUGUGUCUUCGUCUAUGCUUUGUAAUAAAGGCUUUUAUGCAUCCUUUUGGAUUGGACGUCAGGUUUUUGGAAGAACAUCCUGGCUUGCUGUGGAGUGUAGCACCAGCACCCGAUCAGAGAACAAGCGUGAACAGCCUGUAUAUAUAUGUAACAUAGGUCUUUGCAACUUGUUUGACUACUAGUAGCUAUCUAAUGGGUUCUUAUUGGGUUGUAACCAUAUUUGGCAAGCAGUUUGUAUAACUUAUGCACUGAAAAGUUUGGGGUGGUAUGGUGUGUGAUGGUGGAAGUUUGAUUUGGAGUGGGUUAAAUUUAUAUAUUUGUGAGAAUGGGUUGGUGGGGUUACAGUUUGGGUUCCAACCCAAUUAACAGGUUGACCUGUCACGUCGGAUGUUUGGAUACUAAGUAGAAGUAUUAAAAAUAGACUAAUUACAAAACUAAUUGCAUAGAUGGAGUCUAAUUCGCGAGACGAAUCUAUUAAGCCUUAUUAGUCAAUGAUUUGACAACGUGGUGCUACAGUAACCAUUUGCUAAUGAUGGAUUAAUUAGGCUUAAUAGAUUCGUCUUGUGAAUUAGCCCAAGGGUUCUGCAAUUAGUUUUAUAAUUAGCUCAUGUUUAAUCCUCCUAAUUAGCAUCCGAACAUCCAAUAUGACACUGCUAAAGUUUAACAUCUAGUAUUCAAACACUCUCUUAAUUUUAGGGUCACGCUAAGGGUGCGGUUAAAACCAAGACCCUGUACAUAGCUUGUUACCAUGCUAUGUUUAACUGAAUUUAUGUAGGAAUGUAAUCUCACCCGUACGGUAAGUAUUACACUGGUUGAAGAUAUAGGAUUCGAUGCUCGUGUGGACUGCGCUGCAUAGAUGCUCACAGUACACUUUCAGCAGUAUGUUGGCUUGUUCUUUCAUCCUAUCCUUCUAAUUCAUAGGGGAGAAUACAUCUGGCACCACUGGUAAAGCAUUAAAAUCCAUAAAGAUGGCAUCGAUAAAAACGGGUUCUAGGAAACGGCACUGAAGAUUUGGUUCAAACACUGCCAUCAUCCUCCUCGAUCUCUAUUUUCAUUAUUGUUCAACGCAACACAGCUUUUACUUGUACGAAAUGGCCCCACUUUUAAGUAUGCCCACGUGUUGGCCAGGGCCGUUUUAUUCCAAGUCCUUUACUUGAAAUGCCGGAAUUCCGUGGUGUUUAGAAAAUUCCGUGCUAGUACCGUUUUGCUUCAAUCUCAAAUUUUUGUCACGUCUUUUUUCAAAAAAAAA
This 24567-nucleotide long non-coding RNA is filed under the name Setaria viridis. Its description in RNAcentral is "long non-coding RNA (SVIR_LNC007558)". Lineage: Eukaryota; Viridiplantae; Streptophyta; Magnoliopsida; Poales; Poaceae. The record is from RNAcentral.